Molecule: ribosomal RNA, 815 nt
Filed under: Caldwellia angularis
Lineage: Eukaryota; Metazoa; Mollusca; Gastropoda; Stylommatophora; Helicarionidae
Description: partial 16S ribosomal RNA
Rfam family: Bacterial large subunit ribosomal RNA (bases 420-619)
Source: RNAcentral
UAAAUAACUACUUUGAAAAGGAUAAAGUUAAUAUAUAUAUAUUUACCUUUUGCAUAAUGGUUUAAUAAAAAGUAUAAAGAUUAGUAAUCCCGAAAUUAGAAGAUCUAUAUUAUAUAAUAUAUUAGAAAAGUGAUUAUAAUGUUUCAAAAUUAUAAGUAAAUUUAAUAUAGGAGUGAAAGGCUUACCAAUUCUAAUGAUAUCUGGAAUAAUUUUAAAUGUAUUUAGUACAAAAUAUAUAUUUGAAUAAAAAAAUGUUAAGGGUUUUUUAUUAAAUAGGAUAAUAAAUUUAUAUUAUUAUGAAUUAAUCUUCUUAUAUUUUAUAUAUUUGAAAAUAAAUUAUUAUUAAAUCUAUCUUUAUAAAAUUAUAUUUUAAUAAUUUUUUAGAAAAUAAACUAUGUUAAAAUUAGUAUAAUAAAUAUAUUAUUGUUAGGAACUCGGCAAAAUUUUAUUCAACUGUUUAUCAAAAACAUAGCUUUAUGUAAUUAUAUAAAGUGAAACCUGCCCAGUGAAAAAUUUAACGGCCGCAGUACCUUGACUGUGCUAAGGUAGCAUAAUAAAUUGACUUUUAAUUGAGGCCUAGAAUGAAAGGGAUAAUGGAUAAUAGCUGUCUUAUAAUAAUUAAUUAAAAGUUACUUAAAAGGUGAAAAUUCCUUUUUAUAUAUAAUAGACGAGAAGACCCUAGGAGUUUAUAAUUUUGUUGGGGCGACAAUAUAGCAUAUAACCUAUAUUAACUGAUUUUUAUAAAGAAUAAUAUUAAUUUAAAUUAAACUACCCUAGGGAUAACAGCAUAAUUUAUUUUAAGUUUGUGACCUCGA